Molecule: non-coding RNA, 22 nt
Filed under: Arabidopsis thaliana (thale cress)
Lineage: Eukaryota; Viridiplantae; Streptophyta; Magnoliopsida; Brassicales; Brassicaceae
Source: RNAcentral
AUGAUAUUUUCUCUUGCUUUAU